Molecule: unclassified non-coding RNA, 264 nt
Filed under: uncultured fungus
Lineage: Eukaryota; Fungi
Description: sequence contains ITS1
Source: RNAcentral
UAUAUUUAAUUCAACUUUUGUUAUUCUAAACAGAUUCAUAGGUUUGUGAAAAAGGUACAUAGACCUGGAAAGGAUUUCAAGGAAAAGCAACAGCAGUAGCAGUUCCAACUCGAUAACAAAAUCAACAAUAAAAAAUCUCCAGGUCUACAAUAUGUGCACAGUUGGAGAAAUAAAGAUGACAAGCGUGCACAUACCCCUAAGGGCCAGCAACAGCCUGUUCAAGUUUAUUCGAUAAUGAUCCUUCCGCAGGUUCACCUACGGAAA